GCAGCUGAUGUUAUAUCAGGAGAGUUGAUAUUUUCAUAAAUUGACUAUGUAGUUUUAAAUGUUCCCAUAUGAUGAACUGUAAUAAUAUUAGUUUUAUGGUAUAAGUAUUUAUUAUAUAUAAAUAAAGAUAAAUGAUUUGUAAAUGUAUAUUAUUUGCAUAUGUACCGCAAGUGGUGUGACAUGCAAAAUAGGUACAGCAAAUGGUGUGAUUUGCAAAAUAGGUACAGCAAGUGGUGUGACUUGCAAAAUAGGUACAGCAAGUGGUGUGACUUGCAAAAUAGGUACCGCAAGUGGUGUGACUUGCAAAAUAGGUACAGCAAGUGGUGUGACUUGCAAAAUAGGUACAGCAAGUGGUGUGACUUGCAAAAUAGGUACAGCAAGUGGUGUGACUUGCAAAAAGGUACCUGCAAGUGGUGUGACUUGCAAAUUAGGUGCUGCAGGUGGUGUGACUUGCAAAAAGGCACUAAGUCCUUCCAGGUUAGCCUGCACAUGUCAACUUUUUUAUUCCUUAGUUAGUUUUCACAUGUAUUACACUGUUUAAAAAGUUGUUUGAGUAAAUAUAGAAUAGAUUUUUUUUGAAAUGAAAUUUAGUGUAUAGUCCUUCACAUUACAAAAUGUUUUAAUUUUUUAAAGUAUUUAUACAAAAUAUUGGACUUUUUUUUUUUUUAAAAGGUUUUUUAUUAACAAAAAAAUAAAAAUAAUGUGAAAAUUUAAAGAACCAAAAGUAGAAAGUGACGUGUCAUGCUGAUUUGGCAUGGAAUGACUAAACUGCAAGUGGUUUAACAUUUUUUUGAUAGACGGCUCUGGCUUACGUUCUCGUCGUGUCUAUCGUUAACAAUGAUUAUUAUUAAAUUUCAUUAUUGAAAUUUAAAUUUUUAAUCAUUUACUAAAAGCCAAGACAAAUUAAUUACGUUUUUUUUUCAAAACAAUAUUGAGUUUUUCUUUUUCUUUUAGAUUAAAGUGGGAGGUGGUUACAAUGCUCCAUUUACUAAAAAUAUGGAUACUUUGAUGCAUCUUGUAAUAUAAUUGGAGAGGCGGGGAGGGGGUGAUGAUCUUGCUACCAGAUCAUUUGGCAAUGAUCUGGUAGCAAGUUAUAACAAUUUCUUGUAUAUAAAAAUUACAAAUUUCAUUAAAA
Molecule: non-coding RNA, 1135 nt
Organism: Hydra vulgaris (swiftwater hydra)
Lineage: Eukaryota; Metazoa; Cnidaria; Hydrozoa; Anthoathecata; Hydridae
Source: RefSeq, a predicted model, not a curated record